RNAcentral lists this ribosomal RNA (831 nucleotides) under uncultured bacterium. RNAcentral's name for it is "bacterial SSU rRNA". It matches the Rfam family "Bacterial small subunit ribosomal RNA", at positions 61 to 900 of the family's 1533-position model. The record is from RNAcentral.
GCCGGACACGGACUAUUUCGGUAGGAAGCGUGCGGAGGCUUAGUGGCGGACGGGUGAGUAACGCGUGGAUAACCUGCCGCAUACCGGGGGAUAACAGCUGGAAACAGCUGCUAAUACCGCAUAUGCCCGCAGUGCCGCAUGGCACAGCGGGGAAAACUCCGGUGGUAUGCGAUGGGUCCGCGUCUGAUUAGGCAGUUGGCGGGGUAACGGCCCACCAAACCGACGAUCAGUAGCCGGCCUGAGAGGGCGGACGGCCACACUGGGACUGAGACACGGCCCAGACUCCUGCGGGAGGCAGCAGUGGGGAAUAUUGCACAAUGGGGGAAACCCUGAUGCAGCGACGCCGCGUGAAGGAAGAAGUAUCUCGGUAUGUAAACUUCUAUCAGCAGGGAAGAAAACAGACGGUACCUGACUAAGAAGCCCCGGCUAACUACGUGCCAGCAGCCGCGGUAAUACGUAGGGGGCAAGCGUUAUCCGGAUUUACUGGGUGUAAAGGGGGCGCAGACGGCCAUGGCAAGCCCGGUGUGAAAGGCAGGGGCAUAACCCCUGGACUGCACUGGGAACUGUCAGGCUGGAGUGCCGGAGGGGUAAGCGGAAUUCCUGGUGUAGCGGUGAAAUGCGUAGAUAUCAGGAGGAACACCGGCGGCGAAGGCGGCUUACUGGACGGCAACUGACGUUGAGGCCCGAAAGCGUGGGGAGCGAACAGGAUUAGAUACCCUGGUAGUCCACGCCGUAAACGAUGUAUACCAGGUGUCGGAUAUCAAGGAUAUCCGGUGCCGAAGCAAACGCAUUAAGUAUACCACCUGGGGAGUACGUUCGCAAGAAUGAAAC